This 1772-nucleotide long non-coding RNA is filed under the name Homo sapiens (human). Its description in RNAcentral is "non-protein coding lnc-DICER1-5:3". Lineage: Eukaryota; Metazoa; Chordata; Mammalia; Primates; Hominidae. The record is from RNAcentral.
UCAUUUUAGCUAUGUUCAGUUGAGGAACGCAGCAGAUCUGGAUGACAGAAGAAACCGAAUAUUAACCAGGUACAGUACUCAGAAGCUUACUGAGCUGAUUUUACAGUUUUAUGGCAUCAGAGCAGACAUGAAGAGGGAAAGCAAACAUGCCAGGAUGUCUAUGAAAGUAUUUCUUGCUGUCGGAGAACUGUUGGCCUGGCCUAAUGUUGCUGAAUUGCUGGAAACCUGCCCAUUUAAAACAUAGGAAACCAGAAAAACGUCUCAAAUUCUUACAAUUCUGAGACGUCCCCAUUCCUGUUGAAGUCAUAGAGUUGCUUUAUUAUGUUUUUAUUUUUAAAAAAUUUUAUUUACUCGCCACAGAUUUGAAUUGGCUUGGAAGGAUUUAGAUUACUGGAAUCGGAAGCCUCUGUCUGAAUAUUACCCAACACCCAAGAGUGUGGUCAUUAGAACCCCAUCCCUCUGGCUGCUAAAAAAGAAGCAAGACAGCUCCUUUCCCCUGCCAUGAAAUGGAAAUACUAAUUCAAGUUUUCCACCAGGCUGGAUAUGCUCAUAGGAAAAUAAUCCUUUUUGCUCUUAUGAGAUAGAGGCGUUGAAAAUAGAACCUGUAAAGUUGAGAAAUGCAGUCGUGUUUUCAGUUGUCUACAUUGAGCAUUUAUUACCUUUAUAAUAAAAAAUAUGGUUUAGGCUGCGCAUGGUGGCUCACGCCUGUAAUCCCAGCACUUUGGGAGGCCAAGGAGGGAGGACUGCUUGAGGCCAGGAGUUUGAGACUAGCCUGGGCAACACAGAGAGACCGUGUCUCUAUAAAAAGUAUAUAGUUUAACUUGUUUCUGUGGACAGCUUUUUAAAGAAGACCAUCAUGUGGGUAUUUAUCAUUCAGUAUGUAGACUGUGGCAGAUGUUUAAUCCCACCCUGCCCCUCGCUCCUGCUAUCAGGAGAUAGUUCUGGGACAAGUGGUUUUAGCCUCUCGUAAUCUCCAUUACACCGCACGAAACCACCCUAAGAGGCUUACACUGCAGGCUUCUCUACAUGCAGCUCCAAGCAGAGGCCCCAGCCCCAGGCAAAACCUUCUGGGCUUCCCUAUGAUCCGCCAGGCAAAACUGAAAUGACAUUUUAACACUACCACCUAUAAAAUAAAAGCAGGAAGGUAAAUCUGACUGAAAUCAAAUCUAGUAAUUAUUUUAAAGGUAAUAUUCCAAAGCCAAAACAAAACUGUGGGGAAUGGGAGAGGUCUUUGUUUCUUUCUGAUAGAUGAUUUAAAAUGAUCUGCUAUUAGGGACACUUCAUCCCUUAGAUGACCUAUGGGGUCCCCUGCGUUACUAACAAACAGCAGCAAGCGAUCAGUAUCUAACUCCGUGUCACUCUCUGAGAGCACUGUGGCAUCAAGAAAGGUGUCCCAGGAGACCUGGCCUAGGCGCCCUCUCUGUCGCCAAGUUAAUUGCAUGGCCUUGGGCAAGUCACUCCACCCCGAAAGCCUCAGUGUGUCCAUCUGCAGAAUGGGGCUGCCACCUCCUCUCACCUGAUGUUAUGGAGAUGAACGGAGUACGUGCAAAAGCUCGAGGGGCUGCCUGGAUGGCCCGACGCACUGCCUUGGGCCAGUACACACAGUGUGGGGCCUACCUGGACAUGGUGCUGGGGAGCCUUCGGGUCUUCAGGCGGGGAGUGGGGGCCGGGGAGAGACGGGUAGCACUGGGUGGGGUCCACUUUCCUGGGAACCUGCUUGGUAACUGCGUUUCCUCUGUGUUUCUUCUGUAGGAAGGCCAACAGCUCAGGAG